RNAcentral lists this transfer RNA (57 nucleotides) under Bos taurus (domestic cattle). It matches the Rfam family "tRNA", at positions 8 to 63 of the family's 71-position model. From Rfam's summary of the family: Transfer RNA (tRNA) molecules are approximately 80 nucleotides in length. Their secondary structure includes four short double-helical elements and three loops (D, anti-codon, and T loops). Lineage: Eukaryota; Metazoa; Chordata; Mammalia; Artiodactyla; Bovidae. The record is from Rfam by way of RNAcentral. RNAcentral also lists the same sequence under 3 other names.
UGGCUCAGACGGUAAAGCGUCUGCCUGCAGUGCAGGAGACCUGGGUUCAAUUCCUGG